Molecule: long non-coding RNA, 3718 nt
Filed under: Nicotiana benthamiana
Lineage: Eukaryota; Viridiplantae; Streptophyta; Magnoliopsida; Solanales; Solanaceae
Description: long non-coding RNA (NBEN_LNC008915)
Source: RNAcentral
UCUUAGGCCUCCCUCUCCCUCGCCGACCACCAACAAUCUCCAGCCGCUCGCAGCUCCUCACCGGGGCAUCGGGGCCCCUCCUCCGAACAUGCCCGAAAAUAUGUAUACUGAUCCACCACGGUUCAAUUUUUAAAUAGCUAUGCACAUCCCCUGCGGUACAUCUAGGAAUAGACUGAACAAUCAGAUGUAACCUCCAGUUUCUUUUACCAUUUAGAAGAAAACUGGAUGGGCGCGAAAUAUAUAUUGACGUAUGAACAUUUAGAAUAUUAGAUAAACUUCAUCUCACCAGCAUUUCAGCAAAGAAAAGAUCAUCUGGUAAAUACCAUCACCACGAGAAAUUGGAAAUUCUUAGUGAAUUAAGAAACGAGGAAGAAGCAGACAAGAUAAAAUAUAAUUUAAGUUGAUUACAUCAUAAAUAACUAAAUGUCAAUAAUAAAUGUAUAUAACUCCUUUAAAUCACAAAUUUGAAUGAGUGAUUCAUUCAAAUAAAGGAUGAAACUGCAAAAUUCACAUCCAUAUUAUCUGCAAGAAUAGAACUCACAGAGACAAUGCGCUGAUUAUAGUAAAGAGAAUCUAAUAACAAAAGUUAUAGGAAAAAAAUAAUAGCUUGGUGUUACGGUAGUAUCUUGAAACCAGCAAGAAGAAAGCGAGCAUGGACUCUUAAAAGUUCAUUGGGACAGAUAAGCAUGGUAGAUGUCUUUGCACGAGAAGAAUUUAUAUAAAUACUACUUAUAUUCUCUUGCUACACAUGUAAUUCAGUUAAAUAAGAGUUUUCCUCAAAAUCAUCACUCCAAAUUCAUAAAGUGAGACACUUCAGGCUGCUAUCUUAGGUUCAGCAUUUUGGACAUGAAAUAGAAUUCUAGUUUUUAAUUCAAGAAAAAUGACAGAACCUAUGAACAUGAUACGGGGGACAUAAAAAAACACAAAUUAAAUUAACAUAUGCGUUACUGACUUCAGGUACGUGAGCUUAACAUAAACUAACUAAUCAUUUUAACUGUGAGAGUUUAAUAUUUAAACGAAUAGAUCUAAAAUUGAUCAUUUUUUUCUUAACAAGUAGCAAAUCUUAAAAGACAUUCUCCUAGUAUAUCAACCAUUAAGUAACACUUUCAUGAUAUAAAGUGGAAAAGGCGAAACUACAACUAGUGGUAUUUUUAGAACAAAAUACAAGUCACAAAUAUAUCUUCAAAAAAAUUAACAUAGUCGAAUCAAUGAAGCAUUAACAUGAAGAUAUCUCGAAAGCUAAUGAAUCGAAUAGUUCACAUUUACCUAAAUCCACGAUUCAAAUAGAAUUACUUUACGCUUAAAUUAAUAGGAUUUCCUUUAAGUGUAGUAUCAUAUGAAUAGCUUAUUACAAUCAAAAGUAAACAUAUAACAUUAGAAAAACAGAGGAAUCAAUUUAAUAAAUUUCCCGCCAAUGUAACAGCAUCAAAAAAUCUCAAAUCAAAACAUAACUGACACAAAAAAAAGUAUUUAUCUCACAAGCUACCAUAGUUGGACAUUACAAACCGCAAAUCAGCUUAGGCUCAAGGUGUUUGGGUACCUGGUAGGUAUAAUGCUCGACAUGAAGAUAAGAAAGUGAAUGAGAAGAACGAUGCUAGUAAAAAUCUCGAAACCUACAUAAAAAGAGAAGAUUGCGAGUUAAACAACAUCGAGACCUCAAUAACUUUUUAAAGCAACAGUAAAAAAAAUUAUACAUUCAACUGGUUUUCUCCUUGUAUGCUUAAAUCUUUACCUUAUAAAAAAAGAUAUGCUCAAAGAGAUUAUCUACAAGUCUUUCCUUCAAAGAAUAAAGCUAAAACCAAUAUAUAAUUUUAGUAGAAUGCAACAUUUUUUCUAUUCGAACAAUGCUAACUUGUAAUAUAUCUCAGAGAGGUUUCUAACUUGUAAUUAACCGAAUCUAAAAAUUCAAACAAUUGCAGUCCCAGUUUCUCGGCACAAAAAUGCUAAGAGCUAGAUAAGAAGCACAUCAGAUGUGCUAAAGUGUAGUUUACUUUAAAGUGAAUAAGCAGUUGAAAACUUCACACAUCAAAUAGAUGAAAAGGACUAUCAAGAAGAAAAAAUUCUCUAAUACAUGUCCCUAAUCCAUAUCAAGAACUCGGAUAAUUUCAAGAAAUUGAAAAGAAACCAAACUAUACAUGUGAAAAGAAAAUUAUUUUCAUUUUGUUUAAAUAAAAUAUUGAACUCAAUUUGACAGAACUUAAGCAUCAAACAUGAUAGUCUUCUUAUUAAGAUAAUAGGAAAUAACAAUACUAAGAACAACUUAACAACACAAGAGUGAAAUAUUUGCCUCAUCAAUUUAAAUCAAAAAGUAAACAACGUAUGCAGCACAUAAAUUUUAUAUUAUUAUGUUACUGGAGUUUUAUACUUUAAAUUUACUGUGAGCUCACAUCAAUUUUCUUAAGUUUUUAAUUAGGUAAUCUCAGGGGGAAAAUACUCAGCUAACCAAAUACUAAAUAAAUAGUCUUCUCCAAAAACAGAACUACAUUAAGAAGUUGCCUCAAAUACUCAAUAAAUUAUCUUCUUAUAUAUAAAUUCAUAGCACAAAAGUUAAAGAAAUAUCAUCAGAAAUUAUCCAAGACGCACUUCUCAAAAUAUGAAUCACAUCAACUUUAUUAUUUGAACCAAAGAAGAAGGAAUACCAAAGAAGAUGGACAAAUAUUACUAGUUAUAUCAGAGUCGAUAUAUGUUGGCGUCCUUAGAUUUAUAAAUCUCAAAAGCGCACAUGAUUUUUUUUAUACUAAACACUCAUAACUUUUUUUUUCAGAUUUGUUGAAAUAAAUAGCAUGUUCAUUUUCAACCUCUUCCUCCUGGUACAGUCAUAAAAGCUCUGACAGAUGAAUGUUUUUCUAAUAUUACAGAAAAAACAACUGAUUAAUGCACUAGCGGUACUGCUAAUUUUUUUCAUAAAAAAUUAGAGAAGAGUACUGGUCUAUCUCUCAAACACAUGGCAUCUUUUAAGAAAAUAGCUCUAAAUUCAUUCUUAGACCAAAUGCAAGGAAAAACUUCAAAAACUAUUUGAAGCCAGCAAAAAGUAUUUUCCUAAGGAGCCAAGGAGUCCGGAAGAAAACUUUAUGAUCAAUAAUUUUUAAUAGUCAAAAUAUUUUCAAAUCGAUCUCAAAGACAUUGAAUGUGUGCUUGCACUUACGAAGUUCACUAGAAAUUGUUUGCCAUGUGUUGUUAUUUGUUUCCUUCUAUAAAAUCUCAACAAUUAGAGCUCUAGAAUAUAGAAACCGUGAAGUAAAAUCACUAAAUUCUUAAUGCAAUAUAGAAAAUUAUGUUAUAAAAUCAAUUAUGUUGCAACAAUCAGUAAGUGGUAUGAUUUUGAUUUUUGGACAAACAGUUCCAUAGAUUCUUGAAACUAAAAACUUAUAUAAACCAGCAAUACAAAAUUAGAAAAAAUACUAAGAAAGUUCUCAUUCAAGGAAUUAAAUCUUAGGCAAUUGAAAUCCUACACCCAGCAAUUAGAAAUUUUCAUUAAUCCCUAGACCUACCCAAUUGAAAACCUAAAAUUAAAUAUAGAUACUUACCAAGAAUUCUGAUGGUGUUGCCUUCCGCUAUUUGGUUGCCAAUGGAGAUUUUGAGAGUUUGCCGUAUGAAUUUUUUUUCUUUAAUGUAAAUUGUGCCUAGGGUACAAUGCUAUGCGGGAGAGAAUAUAAUUUAGAGGAAAAUUUAGAAAUGGGAGGGAAUAUCAAAAGUCAAAACAAUACUUUUACCGUCU